GCCAGCAGCCAUGUCACCCUGCAACUCACAACUGGCAACCCACUGAAGCUAAGCAGGUGUGAGCCUGGUCAGUACCUGGAUGUGAGACCUCCUGGGAAAAACUAAGGUUGCUGCUGGAA
Molecule: ribosomal RNA, 119 nt
Organism: Lepisosteus oculatus (spotted gar)
Lineage: Eukaryota; Metazoa; Chordata; Actinopteri; Semionotiformes; Lepisosteidae
Source: Ensembl